This 1365-nucleotide long non-coding RNA is filed under the name Musa acuminata (dwarf banana). RNAcentral's name for it is "long non-coding RNA (MACU_LNC009393)". Lineage: Eukaryota; Viridiplantae; Streptophyta; Magnoliopsida; Zingiberales; Musaceae. The record is from RNAcentral.
UAACCCAUGGGUAAGAUAUGCAAUCCUGGCUGUUUAUGUCUAUCCCUAGCUGUUUAUGUCUAUCCCAGCGGGGCUAAGCAAACAUCUUUCAAAGAAGGAAUUGGUAAUCGCACAUAUGAGACGGAUUAAAUAGCUACCUAAAACAAGUGAUCAAAGAGGUUUGUUUCUUUCGUAGCGAUUCGAAAUCCUUCACCCUUUCUUUUAGAAGGACAGAUCUGCUUCGUCGCUUUCCAAAACUAUAGUAGUACUUCACUUUAGACUCUUGCUCGCCUUAAGGCACAGGAACACUUGCAGGAAAUAGUGGUUUAGUUUGGUUUUAGUUGACAUGGAAAAGUGACAUCGAGGAACAACACUUCUUACCCAACAACAUAAAAGAACCCGGGAUAUAUGUCUUCGUCUUGAUAAAUCCAUGGCGGGGUCGGCAAAAUAGAGUAGGUGUAUUUGAUUUGGGUAAAUCUACUUAGUAUACUUCCGUUGCUGGUGCUACCGUCAAUAUGGUCCUCCAAAUCCCUAUACUAUAGUAGUAGUAGGUGCCUGGACCCAAAACUCGUAGGUGCCUGGACCAAAAAGGAGCUCCUACGCCCGUUUUCACUUGGCCAAUUACAAUGAAGAAAGCAUCCGUUGGUCAAUGAAGAAAGCAUCUGGCUCUAUAAUUUGAUGUUAACCUAUAGGCUCCGGAGCCAUCACCCUAUCAUUUGCAGACGGAAUCAAUUCCCCUAUUUAUUCCCACAGUAAGGCGCUGGAAGUCUUUUCAUCACUAACCUGGUCAAUGCCCGAACUGAAGGAACUGACCUAAGCAUGGCUCUUCCUACUAAAGGAAAGAAUCACUGACCGAACCGAAGGAUCAUUUAUUGCAUUGUUCUUUUGAAUCUAUCUAUUGGUCUAUGCGGAAUUAGCCCUCCUUACAUCUUUAUCUAGUCUUAGUUCUGGUUUGAACAGAUCCCUUUCUGCCUUUGCUUUGAAUUUCCGGGGGAGUGGGGAUUUGCGACCUUCUGCCUCCACUGCUUCCACUUCCACUUCUCUUACACUGAUGAGUCUAGUUUUUCCCAAGUAUAGUAUUACAGUGAAUUAUGACAUAUCUAAAAGCCAGAGAAGCCUGUUACUCUCUUACAUAGUUUAUACCUGUUACUCUCUUACAUAGUUUAUACCAGAUAGAAACUUAGUCUAACACAAGAUCUUGUUUAAGCUCAGCCAGGACCUGAAAGAGAUCAGUAAACCAACGCUUCUUCCUCUACAGACUCAAGCCAUGAGACAGUUCCAGACAACAUGCAUGCCUGAGGUACGCCAUUCCUCUCGUAUCUCUCGUCCUGUUAUUUGCUUUCUUUCAUGCAAUUCUUUUGUCUCCUACUUUAUUGUUCAUUCUGU